AGAUCUCUACAACCUAGAGGUCUUGCAGAAACAUUGUGUGGUUCACCAUUGUACAUGGCGCCAGAGAUAAUGCAACUUCAGAAAUAUGACGCAAAGGCAGAUCUCUGGAGUGUUUGUGCCAUUAUCUUUCAACUUGUGACUGGAAGAACACCGUUUACAAGAAACAAUCAUAUACAGGUUUUUUUUUUCUUUUUAUUUUUUUUAGCACAUCUGAAAUAAUCAUUUGUAGUGGUUGGGUUUUCAACUUGGUUUAAUUAUUGAUUCUUUUUGUGUUUAAUUUAAGUAGUAAUAAUUCUGUAGCUAUGUUUAAUUUGUCUUUCUUUGUGCCCUUAACUUUUCCUUGAUUAACCUUUUGUCUUGUUUCUUGAGCAGUUGCUCCAAAACAUUGUUAAAUAUAGUGAAUUGCAUUUCCCUCCUGAUAAUAAUGCUUUGAGUGCUAACUGCAAAGAUUUGUGUCAGAAAUUGCUGCGCCGCAAUCCAGUGGAACGACUAACAUUUGAAGAGUUGUUUAACCACCUAUUCCUUUCUCAAAAGCA
This is an RNA transcript of Vitis vinifera (wine grape), 536 nucleotides long. RefSeq lists it as uncharacterized. NCBI's taxonomy places the organism in Eukaryota, Viridiplantae, Streptophyta, Magnoliopsida, Vitales, Vitaceae. The transcript has 3 exons. The record is from RefSeq and is a predicted model, not a curated record.